UGCCAGCCGCCGCGGUAAUACGGAGGGUGCAAGCGUUGUUCGGAAUUAUUGGGCGUAAAGCGCGUGUAGGCGGUUCGUUAAGUCUGAUGUGAAAGCCCGGGGCUCAACCCCGGAAGUGCGUUGGAUACUGGUAGUCUUGAGUUCGAGAGAGGUGAGUGGAAUUCCGAGUGUAGAGGUGAAAUUCGUAGAUAUUCGGAGGAACACCAGUGGCGAAGGCGACCGCCUGGCCAGAUACUGACGCUGAGGUGCGAAAGCGUGGGGAGCAAACAGGAUUAGAUA
RNAcentral lists this ribosomal RNA (279 nucleotides) under uncultured bacterium. RNAcentral's name for it is "partial 16S ribosomal RNA". It matches the Rfam family "Bacterial small subunit ribosomal RNA", at positions 506 to 784 of the family's 1533-position model. The record is from RNAcentral.